GCUUGUAUUGCCGUUCACUAAGGUAGACCGUUCAUAUCAAACUUGUCCCGUACGUGUUGUUAUCUGUUUUUGGACACUGAGAAUAGAGGAUUGUGGUGUACACUUCUAUAUUUAAACUAUCCACUUUCCCAUUUUUUAUACCUUUCGCAUGGAGUGGCCCUUAUCAUUUUUAUUUUUUAUUUCGGCUCAGUAUAGCAUUGUUCCGGGUAACACAUGAUUGUUGCACUUGCCUAUUUACAAAAACAUCUUUUUGCCGUUUUGACCAACACAUUCAGGACAGAAUUGACCAUUUUAUGAAUGUUACAUUAAUACCAUUAUUGACGGAUACAAUCGUGUUUCAAAAAUAUUUUAACGAACUUCAACAACGUGUCCUGUAAAAUUUAUCAAUAACACUGCAUGUU
This 401-nucleotide long non-coding RNA is filed under the name Mytilus galloprovincialis (Mediterranean mussel). Lineage: Eukaryota; Metazoa; Mollusca; Bivalvia; Mytilida; Mytilidae. The record is from RNAcentral.